UGAGGGAAAGGCGAAAAGAACCCCGGCGAGGGGAGUGAAAAAGAACCUGAAACCGUGUACGUACAAGCAGUGGGAGCCCCACCACCAAAGCAUUCUCUGGUGUUGAAGGCCCUGCAAAGCAGCAUCGCGGUGGCGGAGCGUCGUUUGCGACGCCCAACACACAAAACAAGCGGUGAGUGCUUUGGGGUGGGGUGACUGCGUACCUUUUGUAUAAUGGGUCAGCGACUUAUAUUCUGUAGCAAGGUUAACCGAAUAGGGGAGCCGGAGGGAAACCGAGUCUUAAUUGGGCGUUAAGUUGCAGGGUAUAGACCCGAAACCCGGUGAUCUAGCCAUGGGCAGGUUGAAGGUUGGGUAACACUAACUGGAGGACCGAACCGACUAAUGUUGAAAAAUUAGCGGAUGACCUGUGGCUGGGGGUGAAAGGCCAAUCAAACCGGGAGAUAGCUGGUUCUCCCCGAAAGCUAUUUAGGUAGCGCCUCGUGAAUUCAUCUCCGGGGGUAGAGCACUGUUUCGGCUAGGGGGCCAUCCCGGCUUACCAACCCGAUGCAAACUGCGAAUACCGGAGAAUGUUAUCACGGGAGACACACGGCGGGUGCUAACGUCCGUCGUGAAGAGGGAAACAACCCAGACCGCCAGCUAAGGUCCCAAAGUCAUGGUUAAGUGGGAAACGAUGUGGGAAGGCCCAGACAGCCAGGAUGUUGGCUUAGAAGCAGCCAUCAUUUAAAGAAAGCGUAAUAGCUCACUGGUCGAGUCGGCCUGCGCGGAAGAUGUAACGGGGCUAAACCAUGCACCGAAGCUGCGGCAGCGA
Molecule: ribosomal RNA, 808 nt
Filed under: Salmonella enterica subsp. enterica
Lineage: Bacteria; Pseudomonadati; Pseudomonadota; Gammaproteobacteria; Enterobacterales; Enterobacteriaceae
Also listed under: 1 other name
Description: bacterial LSU rRNA
Rfam family: Bacterial large subunit ribosomal RNA
Source: RNAcentral